UUAUGGUAUUUUUUGCGUAUGGGCCCAUUCUGCAGUGAAAUUCAGAUCUAAUUUACAUACGAUUUAAUAGCUUAUUUUAUUAAAUAUAAAAAAUGUAAAAGGUUUGCGUUAUACCUGACACCUAGAUGAACACUUUCCAGUUGGGAGUGUGACUGUACGUCAUUCCCUUCAAAUGCUAUUGAGCUUUAAAUUAUGGUCUAUUUUGUGUAUGAGCCCAUGCAGUAAUAAAAUACAUGACAAUAUUUACAUAUGACUUAAUAGCUUAUUUUGUUAAAUAUCAAAAAUCUAAAAGGUGUGCAUUAUAGCGGACACCUAGAUGAACACUGUACAGUUGGUUAUAUGACUGUAAGUCAUUCCCUUCAAAUGCUAUUGAAGUCAGAAAUGUGUUUAACAAUGUCGUAUGUAACUUUAGAGACGGUCCCUUAAUUUCCGCAUAUCUGCGAAUAUCGAAUAUCGAAUGUCCAACGUCAAACCAACUUUAUGCCAGUGAAUUUAGGUACAGUGACAACCCUAGUGUGUGUACACGGGAAUAACACGGGAAUGUUCUUUAUUUGACUGCGGUAGUGAGAAGAGAUUAAUUCACAUCUAAUGUUUCUGGAUGAGUCACAAACGCGACUUCAUUGCAGGCGAUGUCAUCAUGCAAGCAGUUAACCAAGACAAGAGUUUUAUCGCCUCCCAGUUCAGAUGAACUACAACAGACAUGUUAGCUUGCUAGCCCCGGCUAACUUCGGCUAGCUGGUAGGAUUAGGAUUCUCUUGAGAAAAGAAACACUACCGUGAGCCACUAAACCUUCAAAUAAUAUACAAAGCGACUGACUGAAGGUUAAAACAUUCUCACUGCCAGUUAUGACAAGUGUCAUAUCUAUCUGUCUGUCUAUCAUAAGUUUGUGUAUAAACAGUGAAGCUAAACAAACACGGCCUUGUGUUUACCGACAAAUCCGGGAGCGUAAAGUUCUGCGCGAGCGCGAGGCCUGGCCGCUUCAGUCCGUCGCGCGCACAGGAAACCUUGCCGGCUUUACCUCACCGAUAGAAUCAAACUCACCGCUCUUCAGGAGACGCCGAGAAAUCAGAAUGACGGUUAGAUCAGACCGUAAAUAUAGCAGUCGGGAAAGCAAAAAAGUUAACGCUUCUUCAUCCCCUUUCUUACAUAUAUACACAAAGUUAAAGGUCAAAGUGAACGGAGAAGCAGAAGACUGUUCGGAGCGAAAUGGAGCCGUCGAGGGGAAGCAGCGUCGAGGCUCCGCAUCACGAGGCACAACGCUGCACUUCCACAACCCGCCAGCGGGGGCGCUAACGAACACGCCGUGUCCACUCAACAUCACCACCGACCUAGCCCAUUGUUAUUUAACAUGCGUAGAACAGCUUGACAGAAGCUCUAAACCGAUCCACCAAAUGAAAUUAGGACCUGUGUUCUAAAUUACUGCGGAUUUGAAAAGGGCAGUCUCACACCCCAUACCCACUCUGACCUUCUCGCCACACAACCGCUAACACCUCCUGCUACAACCCCCACACCCUAACCCCCACACCCCAACUACAGUCAGAGGAUGAUGCAUGUUACAUCCAGCAACACCUCAACAGACCAGAGACCUAUGCAAUGAUACUAUUUGUGGAUCUGGGAAAAUUCAUAUCCAGCAUUUGCACAAUUAGCACAACUGAUGCUCCUCAGGGCUGUUUGCUCUCUCCACUCUACACAAAUGGCUGUACAUCUACAGACCCCUCUGUCAAGCUCCUGAAGUUUGCAAAUGACACCAAAGUCAUUGGCCUCAUCCAGGAUGGGGACAAGGGAGGUUGAACAGUUGGCUGUCUGGUGCAGUCAAAAUAACCUUGUGCUGAGCAUGCUCAAAACAGUGGAGAUGUUUGUGGACUUCAGGAGGAAUUCCCCAGCACCCCCCAUCCUAGACAGCACUGUGGCCACUGUGGAGUCCUUCAGGGCCCUACCGUCUCACAGGAACUGAAGUGGGAGACCCAUAUAGAUCAGAACAAUUCUGUUCAAUCUGCCACAGGAGCUGCUGACCCAGUUCUACUCAACUGUCAUUGAGUCUGUUCUGUACAUUUCAAUAACUAUCUGGUUUGGUUCAGCUAACAAGUCAGACAUAAGACCACAAUGGACAGUCUAGACUGCUGAAAGGAUUAUUGGUGCUCCUCUGCCCUCCCUCCAGGAACUGUACUCCUCCAGAAUGAGGAUAUCGACAGGAAACAUCAUCUCAGACCCCACUAAUCCUGGCCACAACCUCUCUGAAUGGUUGACCUCUGGCUAGCACUACAGAACACGGAGCACCAGAACAUCCAGACACAAGAGCAGUUUUUUUUUCACCACAAGCCCUUAUCUCCCUCAUGAACAGUUAACUGCCCCAAUGACCCUCCUAGUGCAAUUUGUUCCCCACUGUAAAUUCAUGCCUAUUUAUUCUAUUACCUAUAUAUACCUCCAUCUUCUCUACACUGCAUUACCCCUUACAUAGCUGUACAUAGCAUCUGUACCAUGUCUAUUCUGCUUUAAGCUUAUAGUGUUAUUUUUUAAAUUCUUAUUAUGUGCUGUCAUAUGUGUACGCACUGGAAGCUUCACUUUCCAAGUCAAAUUCCUUGUGUGAACACACUUGGCAAUAAAGCUCAUUCUGAUUAUAAUCGUUUUGGGGCCUGUAACUGAAUUGAAAGAUUAAAAAGAGCUAGUCUGUUAUUCCACUGGAGGCAAAAUAGGGCAAUAAACUCAUACACUCAGUUACUCAUAAAAUAUGCUAAUGAAAAGAAUCUAACUUCAUCAAACUAAAAAUGUCACUACAACCAUGUCUCUUUCCAAAUAAUUAAUUUAGGGUCUUCAAAGCAACAUUCUUUUAACAGCAAUUUAAUACUGACAAUGUUUAAUGGUUACUAGAGACACAAAAAAAGAGUCAUCUGUUUGUUGUGAUUAUUAAUUCUGUACAUAAGAGCACGGGUUAUAGUCAGUGUCUUCAUAUUCAAUUGUUAACAGAUCAAUGUAGCUACUGAAAAUAUAGUUAGAAGCACACUGGUUUUAAUUAGAAGGAAGAUUGGACAAUUAUCCUGAUGCUACUCCUGUUCUGUGUUGUCAUCAAAUUUAAAGGAAAAAGUCAUUGUCAUUUCAACCUUGUAACGUGAAUGGCACCCUAAACUUGUUGCACUAUUGCUGUGUAAUGUUGUGUACAUUACAUAAUGCAUGGACUUUGAAGUACAAAAUAUUCAGGAUAAGAUAUUAUUAGGACAUCUCCUUGUUCAAGUUAGCAAGACUAAAGGCAUUCUGUCAUACAGAACUAAACAUUUUAUCCUUGACAUUACCUUGGUUAAUUAUUAUUAUUAUUUUUAAAAUCUAUUUAUUUGACACCAUAUAAAAUGCUAUCUGGUAUGAUUACAAAUUACAAAAUUAAUUGAUAUCAUCUUAUAUAAAGCAAAAGAACUAAGAGAAGCAAACAGAUAUUCACAAAUAAGCAGUUCUUCCAUUAACAGGUUUGUUCAGUAAACCUCAAAUUUCUUCUAGUUAAUGGCUGAUUGAAUAGUUUCUGAAAGUCACUUGAAUAGCCAAAACUUUCACUUUUAGUUUAAUAUAACCUUUAAUUUAGACUGUUUUAG
Molecule: long non-coding RNA, 3578 nt
Organism: Ictalurus furcatus (blue catfish)
Lineage: Eukaryota; Metazoa; Chordata; Actinopteri; Siluriformes; Ictaluridae
Exons: 3
Source: RefSeq, a predicted model, not a curated record